AGUGUAGUUCAGUGGUAGAAUGCUUACCUAGCAUGCUUGAGUUCCUGGGUUUGAGUCCCAGGCCACUA
Molecule: transfer RNA, 68 nt
Filed under: Marmota monax (woodchuck)
Lineage: Eukaryota; Metazoa; Chordata; Mammalia; Rodentia; Sciuridae
Description: tRNA.Ala
Source: RNAcentral